Molecule: ribosomal RNA, 219 nt
Filed under: uncultured bacterium
Lineage: Bacteria
Description: partial 16S ribosomal RNA
Rfam family: Bacterial small subunit ribosomal RNA
Source: RNAcentral
UAACCUACCUCAUAGUGGGGGAUAACAGUCGGAAACGACUGCUAAUACCGCAUAGGACAUGGAAUCACAUGAUUCUGUGAGGAAAGGUGGCGCAAGCUAUCGCUAAGAGAUGGACCCGCGGUGCAUUAGCUAGUUGGUAGGGUAAAGGCCUACCAAGGCGAUGAUGCAUAGCCGACCUGAGAGGGUGAUCGGCCACAUUGGGACUGAGACACGGCCCAA